GUGAAUCAUCAAAUCUUUGAACGCAAAUUGCGCUUCCUAGCAUCCCGGGGAGUAUGCCUGUUUGAGGGUCAGUAUUAACAAAAAAAUCGGUUUGGUUGCAAAUUGUGACGUUUCCGGAGUUUGGGCUACCUUAACUUUUUUGGUUAAGGGGCUUAAAAUUGACCUUCUUUGCGCAUUUUUAACCGUACAUAAUUUUUUUUUUUUUUCUUUUUUUCUUAUUCCAAAAUCUUUAUUCAUUGG
Molecule: unclassified non-coding RNA, 240 nt
Filed under: Glomeraceae sp.
Lineage: Eukaryota; Fungi; Glomeromycota; Glomeromycetes; Glomerales; Glomeraceae
Description: partial contains 5.8S ribosomal RNA and internal transcribed spacer 2
Rfam family: 5.8S ribosomal RNA (bases 1-71)
Source: RNAcentral